RNAcentral lists this ribosomal RNA (105 nucleotides) under Escherichia coli. Its description in RNAcentral is "partial 23S ribosomal RNA". The stretch from base 1 to 88 matches the Rfam family "Bacterial large subunit ribosomal RNA", at positions 2838 to 2925 of the family's 2925-position model. Lineage: Bacteria; Pseudomonadati; Pseudomonadota; Gammaproteobacteria; Enterobacterales; Enterobacteriaceae. The record is from RNAcentral.
UUGAAGACGACGACGUUGAUAGGCCGGGUGUGUAAGCGCAGCGAUGCGUUGAGCUAACCGGUACUAAUGAACCGUGAGGCUUAACCUUACAACGCCGAAGCUGUU